RNAcentral lists this ribosomal RNA (463 nucleotides) under uncultured bacterium. RNAcentral describes it as "bacterial SSU rRNA". It matches the Rfam family "Bacterial small subunit ribosomal RNA", at positions 166 to 645 of the family's 1533-position model. The record is from RNAcentral.
AUACCGAAUAUUCUCGUCUCUGGGCAUCCAGGGAUGAGGAAACCUUCGGGGCGGAGGGAGCGGCCUGCGGCCUAUUAGCUAGUUGGUGGGGUAAUGGCCUACCAAGGCUCCGAUGGGUAGCCGGUCUGAGAGGAUGAUCGGCCACACUGGGACUGAGACACGGCCCAGACUCCUACGGGAGGCAGCAGUGAGGGAUUUUGCGCAAUGGACGAAAGUCUGACGCAGCGACACCGCGUGAGUGAUGAAGGCCUUCGGGUUGUAAAGCUCUGUCAGGAGGGACGAGAAGGGACGGUACCUCCAGAGGAAGCCUCGGCUAACUACGUGCCAGCAGCCGCGGUAAGACGUAGGGGGCAAGCGUUGUCCGGAAUUACUGGGCGUAAAGGGCUCGUAGGUGGGACUAUAAGUCAAUGAGUAAAUGCUCCGGCUUAACCGGAAGCGCCAUUGUUGAUACUGUAGUUCUUGA